Molecule: long non-coding RNA, 1981 nt
Organism: Vicia villosa (hairy vetch)
Lineage: Eukaryota; Viridiplantae; Streptophyta; Magnoliopsida; Fabales; Fabaceae
Exons: 3
Source: RefSeq, a predicted model, not a curated record
CAGAAGCUCGUAAAAAUCAAAACCCCAUCGAAAAUCUUCUCCAAACUAAACCAUCUUCUUUUCGGUAACAGUUGAUUAUCUUCAAAUCAUCAAAAUCGCAUUCAAAUCAGUUUCAUUCAAAUCAUCUUCUUAAAUCAAUUUCAUCUUAGGGCUUCAAAUCAUCUUCUGAAAAAGAUUUAGGGUUUCAGCUCGUGAGUAGCCCAGAGCGAACAAAGGAACGUAGUACUUUCAAUGAACGCAACUUUCAGAUCGUGAUUCGGUAUUGGAUUCGCUUAUUUUAGAAGGAGAUACACAUGAAAUACUGGUGGAAUUGGGAGGAAUGGGUGGCGGUGGAAUGGUUUGGCUGGAGGUUAAAUAUAAGACCUUUGAUGAAAUUGAUGAUGAGAAAAAGUGGUGGAAGAUACCUUUUGUUUCAGAUUUUCUAAAGAAGAAUGGUUUUGAUUCUGCACUCAGAAAGGUUAUCGGUUCUGAUACAGUACAAGUCAGCCAAUUUGUGGAGUUUGCAUUUGGGAAGUUAAAGUUAUUUAACAAUGAGAAGGGUUGGAUGUCUGAUACUGAUAAUGAUAAAUAUGAUACUGAAAGUUCUAAGGAAUCAAAUGAUUCUGCAUACAAAGCUGCUAGUUAAGAUUCAGAAGCCUCUAAUGAAGCUUUUAGUGAACAAAGAAACAUGGAAGAGUUUCACUCACGUGAUAGUGAAACUAAAUGAACACACUUUGGAAUCAGACAAUAGAGCAAGUGGUCAACCUGCCACUGCUGCAAUUCAGUCUUCACUUCCAGAGGUCAAAAAGGCAAAUGAGAAAUUGAUGGAGCAAACUGAAUCAAUUUUAGGAGGUUUAAUGGUUUUAACGGCAACAGUUUCCAAAAUAAAAAAUUAUUUGGUUAUAGUUUCUUUCGGUGCAUUUGAAUGAGACUAUGAAUCAUGAUGUUCUUACUUGGAGACAUCCUUCUAGCAUUAUUAUGAGAUUAUUCACAAGUUGAUUUAUUGUCUGAGACUAUUCAUAUCACUGGCACUUAUUCAUCAAUCCUAUCGUACUUACAAUGAAUGAUUUCAUUGGUGCAUAAGAGUCUAUGAACACAGCGGAAGCACAAAGGGUUGAGAUGCAAGUGAAGGGCAACCAUGCACUAGGUAUCUGCUACUUCUUUCUACUUGUGGUGAAUGACUCCGAUUUUCUCUCGAUAUGCCUGGUAUUGUACAUGGCAUCUCAUACAUGUAACAUUAUUUUAACGGUCCAUAAUCGAUGGUCUUUUUUAUUAUAUACUUCACUAACCAGUGAUCAAAUUUCAGGUACUGAAAUUAAACAGUUUGUUUCUUUAUACCCACUUUAUCUUAAUGUAAAAAUACUUUUUAUGCCAGGGACUAAAAAAGUAAAUAAGAAUUGCCUUGGAAACUUCAACAAAUUGAUCCUUGAAAAAGGAAAAUGAACUCCACAUGAAAAUUAUGGAGCUUGAGACCAACAUGAAGGAGUUAAGUUGGAAUAGGUAUGUUUUUGUAUUUCUUUGGAAGUGAUUUUCAAAUGGAUUAAAAUGUGUUUUAUACGUCCAUUAUGAAUGUAAAAAUAUAAAUGUACUAAAUGAAUUAUGGCUCAGUGGACAAGAAUAAUAUACAAAGUUAUUCUUCUACUACUUAAUUUUGAAAUGUGUACCUCAAAACUCAACUCAUGCUUUUGUUCUUAUUUUAUAUUAACCAUUUUAGUUGACAUCGCGAAGAGAUUGUCAGUGAUCUCUUAAAGGAGAGGCGACAGUAUUGCUUUAGAGGAAUAUAAUGAUGGUUACUUAUCAUACCCACAUCAGCAAUGUUGGCUAGUAAUGGUGGUGUAUUGCAGGAACUAAAAGUUCAAGUUCGGAUAUGUAGAGACCUCUUUUAUAUUAACCAUUUAGAUUUGAACAUCUUUGUAUGAACUUCUUUUACAUUAACCAUUUUGAGUUGAACAUUUAUGCAGGGACCUCUCUUGUAAUAAUAUAAGUGGCUUCUUCCCGAUAA